UACGGAGGGGGCUAGCGUUGUUCGGAAUUACUGGGCGUAAAGCGCGCGUAGGCGGACCUGCAAGUCGGGGGUGAAAGCCCGAGGCUCAACCUCGGAACUGCCUUCGAUACUGCGGGUCUCGAGUCCGGGAGAGGUGAGUGGAACUGCGAGUGUAGAGGUGAAAUUCGUAGAUAUUCGCAAGAACACCAGUGGCGAAGGCGGCUCACUGGCCCGGUACUGACGCUGAGGUGCGAAAGCGUGGGGAGCAAACGGG
This 253-nucleotide ribosomal RNA is filed under the name uncultured bacterium. Its description in RNAcentral is "partial 16S ribosomal RNA". It matches the Rfam family "Bacterial small subunit ribosomal RNA", at positions 524 to 776 of the family's 1533-position model. The record is from RNAcentral.